Lupinus angustifolius (narrow-leaved blue lupine) is the source of this 132-nucleotide ribosomal RNA. It matches the Rfam family "Bacterial small subunit ribosomal RNA", at positions 1388 to 1520 of the family's 1533-position model. Lineage: Eukaryota; Viridiplantae; Streptophyta; Magnoliopsida; Fabales; Fabaceae. The record is from Rfam.
CACUGCCCGUCACACUAUGGGAGCUGGCCAUGCCCAAAGUCGCUACCUUAACCGCAAGGAGGGGAUACCGAAGGUAGGACUAGUGACUAGAGUGAAGUCGUAACAAGGUAGCCGUACUGGAAGGUGUGGCUG